GACGAACGCUGGCGGCGUGCUUAACACAUGCAAGUCGAACGAGAAUCUGUGGAAAGAGGAUUCGUCCAAUUGAAGCAGAGGACAGUGGCGGACGGGUGAGUAACGCGUGAGGAACCUGCCUUUCAGAGGGGGACAACAGUUGGAAACGACUGCUAAUACCGCAUAACAUAUAGAUGUCGCAUGGCAUUUAUAUCAAAGAUUUAUCGCUGAAAGAUGGCCUCGCGUCUGAUUAGCUAGUUGGUGAGGUAACGGCCCACCAAGGCGACGAUCAGUAGCCGGACUGAGAGGUUGAACGGCCACAUUGGGACUGAGAUACGGCCCAGACUCCUACGGGAGGCAGCAGUGGGGAAUAUUGGGCAAUGGGCGCAAGCCUGACCCAGCAACGCCGCGUGAAGGAAGAAGGCUUCGGUUGUAAACUCCUGUUGUUGAGGAAGAUAAAUGACGGUACUCAACAAGGAAGUGACGGCGUAACUAACGUGCCAGCAGCCG
This 489-nucleotide ribosomal RNA is filed under the name uncultured bacterium. Its description in RNAcentral is "bacterial SSU rRNA". It matches the Rfam family "Bacterial small subunit ribosomal RNA", at positions 28 to 517 of the family's 1533-position model. The record is from RNAcentral.